CACACCGCCCGUCACACCAUGGGAGUUGGCUUUACCUGAAAAAGGCGGUGCGCCAACCGCAAGGAGGCAGCCGACCACGGUAGGGUCAGCGACUGGAGUG
RNAcentral lists this ribosomal RNA (100 nucleotides) under uncultured bacterium. RNAcentral's name for it is "partial 16S ribosomal RNA". It matches the Rfam family "Bacterial small subunit ribosomal RNA", at positions 1386 to 1482 of the family's 1533-position model. The record is from RNAcentral.